Molecule: ribosomal RNA, 396 nt
Filed under: uncultured bacterium
Lineage: Bacteria
Description: partial 16S ribosomal RNA
Rfam family: Bacterial small subunit ribosomal RNA
Source: RNAcentral
AUACGAAGGGUGCAAGCGUUAAUCGGAAUUACUGGGCGUAAAGCGCGCGUAGGUGGUUCGUUAAGUUGGAUGUGAAAGCCCCGGGCUCAACCUGGGAACUGCAUCCAAAACUGGCGAGCUAGAGUAUGGCAGAGGGUGGUGGAAUUUCCUGUGUAGCGGUGAAAUGCGUAGAUAUAGGAAGGAACACCAGUGGCGAAGGCGACCCCCUGGGUAAAUACUGACGCUGAGGUGCGAAAGCGGGGGGAGCAACCAGGAUUGGAUACCCUGGUGUCCCACGCCGUAAACGAUGUCGCCUAGCCGUUGGGAUCCUUGAGAUCUUAGUGGCGCAGCUAACGCAUUAAGUCGACCGCCUGGGGAGUACGGCCGCAAGGUUAAAACUCAAAUGAAUUGACGGGG